AAACUGUAAUGGGAACCAACAUUUUUUAUUUGGGAGAUAUGGACCAACAAUUUUUUCUUAAUAAUCGGUGGUUGAACACAGCACUUUACUUUUUGAGGAAACUUCAGUUCAAAUGGAUGCAUAUAAGCAAUCCACCUCUGCAUCAGUUCCCAGUACACAGGUAAGAUGAUCUGUAGUCUAUACAGCAUGUUAUGUUACCUUAAGACCAAAGUGCCAGAAGAACACAACACUGUUAAGACCCCAGUGAUUAGCAAUGAGCUCCUCCCAGCACACUAAAGCUCUAAUUUUCUUUAGUCGCAUCUCUUGAAUUGCACUAGACAAAGGUUGAAAUGGCAUCAAGGAGUCUCACUAGACAAAUC
Molecule: unclassified non-coding RNA, 359 nt
Filed under: Hevea brasiliensis (rubber tree)
Lineage: Eukaryota; Viridiplantae; Streptophyta; Magnoliopsida; Malpighiales; Euphorbiaceae
Source: RNAcentral